CGGAGAGUUUGAUCCUGGCUCAGAUUGAACGCUGGCGGCAUGCCUUACACAUGCAAGUCGAACGGCAGCACGGAGCUUGCUCUGGUGGCGAGUGGCGAACGGGUGAGUAAUAUAUCGGAACGUACCCUAGAGUGGGGGAUAACGUAGCGAAAGUUACGCUAAUACCGCAUACGAUCUAAGGAUGAAAGUGGGGGAUCGCAAGACCUCAUGCUCGUGGAGCGGCCGAUAUCUGAUUAGCUAGUUGGUAGGGUAAAAGCCUACCAAGGCAUCGAUCAGUAGCUGGUCUGAGAGGACGACCAGCCACACUGGAACUGAGACACGGUCCAGACUCCUACGGGAGGCAGCAGUGGGGAAUUUUGGACAAUGGGCGAAAGCCUGAUCCAGCAAUGCCGCGUGAGUGAAGAAGGCCUUCGGGUUGUAAAGCUCUUUUGUCAGGGAAGAAACGGUGAGAGCUAAUAUCUCUUGCUAAUGACGGUACCUGAAGAAUAAGCACCGGCUAGCUACGUGCCAGCAGCCGCGGUAAUACGUAGGGUGCAAGCGUUAAUCGGAAUUACUGGGCGUAAAGCGUGCGCAGGCGGUUUUGUAAGUCUGAUGUGAAAUCCCCGGGCUCAACCUGGGAAUUGCAUUGGAGACUGCAAGGCU
Molecule: ribosomal RNA, 642 nt
Filed under: uncultured bacterium
Lineage: Bacteria
Description: bacterial SSU rRNA
Rfam family: Bacterial small subunit ribosomal RNA
Source: RNAcentral